GGCUCAGAUUGAACGCUGGCGGAAUGCUUUACACAUGCAAGUCGAACGGCAGCACGGACUUCGGUCUGGUGGCGAGUGGCGAACGGGUGAGUAAUAUAUCGGAACGUGCCCAGUCGUGGGGGAUAACGUAGUGAAAAUUACGCUAAUACCGCAUACGAUCUACGGAUGAAAGCGGGGGACUCGCAAGAGCCUCGCGCGAUUGGAGCGGCCGAUAUCAGAUUAGGUAGUUGGUGGGGUAAAGGCUCACCAAGCCAACGAUCUGUAGCUGGUCUGAGAGGACGACCAGCCACACUGGAACUGAGACACGGUCCAGACUCCUACGGGAGGCAGCAGUGGGGAAUUUUGGACAAUGGACGCAAGUCUGAUCCAGCCAUUCCGCGUGCAGGAUGAAGGCCCUCGGGUUGUAAACUGCUUUUGUACGGAACGAAAAGGUUUCUAUUAAUACUAGGAGCUCAUGACGGUACCGUAAGAAUAAGCACCGGCUAACUACGUG
This 493-nucleotide ribosomal RNA is filed under the name uncultured bacterium. Its description in RNAcentral is "bacterial SSU rRNA". It matches the Rfam family "Bacterial small subunit ribosomal RNA", at positions 21 to 507 of the family's 1533-position model. The record is from RNAcentral.